GGGCCCGCACAAGCGGAGGAACAUGUGGUUUAAUUCGAUGAUACGCGAGGAACCUUACCCGGGCUUGAAAUGCAGAAGACGAAGGAUGAAAGUUCUUUUCCAGCAAUGGCUUCUGUGUAGGUGCUGCAUGGUUGUCGUCAGCUCGUGCCGUGAGGUGUCGGCUUAAGUGCCAUAACGAGCGCAACCCUUAUCAAUAGUUACUAUCAGGUUAAGCUGAGGACUCUAUUGAGACUGCCACCGUAAGGUGUGAGGAAGGUGGGGAUGACGUCAAAUCAGCACGGCCCUUACGUCCGGGGCGACACACGUGUUACAAUGGGGGGGUACAGAGGGCAGCUACCUGGUGACAGGAUGCAAAUCUCAUAAAGCCUCUCUCAGUUCGGAUUGGAGUCUGCAACUCGACUCCAUGAAGCUGGAUUCGCUAGUAAUCGCGCAUCAGCCAUGGCG
Molecule: ribosomal RNA, 444 nt
Filed under: uncultured Bacteroidota bacterium
Lineage: Bacteria; Pseudomonadati; Bacteroidota
Description: bacterial SSU rRNA
Rfam family: Bacterial small subunit ribosomal RNA
Source: RNAcentral